GGAGAGGUGCCAGAGUGGACGAAUGGGCCUGACUCGAAAUCAGGAGUGCUCUUGCGGGCACCCAGGGUUCGAAUCCCUGCCUCUCCGCCA
RNAcentral lists this transfer RNA (90 nucleotides) under Pseudomonadales bacterium. RNAcentral describes it as "tRNA-Ser". It matches the Rfam family "tRNA". Rfam says of the family: Transfer RNA (tRNA) molecules are approximately 80 nucleotides in length. Their secondary structure includes four short double-helical elements and three loops (D, anti-codon, and T loops). Further hydrogen bonds mediate the characteristic L-shaped molecular structure. tRNAs have two regions of fundamental functional importance: the anti-codon, which is responsible for specific mRNA codon recognition, and the 3' end, to which the tRNAs corresponding amino acid is attached (by aminoacyl-tRNA synthetases). tRNAs cope with the degeneracy of the genetic code in two manners: having more than one tRNA (with a specific anti-codon) for a particular amino acid; and 'wobble' base-pairing, i.e. permitting non-standard base-pairing at the 3rd anti-codon position. Lineage: Bacteria; Pseudomonadati; Pseudomonadota; Gammaproteobacteria; Pseudomonadales. The record is from RNAcentral.